GAGGUUAAUGUUCAGGGCUUCCAGGGUGU
RNAcentral lists this non-coding RNA (29 nucleotides) under Mus musculus (house mouse). The record is from RNAcentral. Lineage: Eukaryota; Metazoa; Chordata; Mammalia; Rodentia; Muridae.